GAAAAAUACAUUAUAACACGUGACGGAUAACCCAAAGGUAAUGCACAUUUUGCCUAAAAAUGAUGAUUCAGGUUCACCAGUUAAAAAGAAAACUAUCAAUUAAGCACAAGCAGUAAGCUUAAAAAUCAUCCAACGAGGCAUCGGAUUAAAAGAGGAAGAAAAGUUUUUAAAAAAACCAUCGAAAUCAAUAAUUGGCAGAUUUCAAACCAACUAGAAUCACAAAACUUCACACAAAAUCAGCUGUCACUGUACAAAUAAGUUGGAAAUGAGAGAAUGGGUUAUCUUCAAAACAGCAGAAACGGAGUGAUACAAUAAUUACAAAGACCAAAAGCAACAACAUUUCUGAAGCUCAAAGUCUUCAAAACCAC
Molecule: unclassified non-coding RNA, 368 nt
Filed under: Hevea brasiliensis (rubber tree)
Lineage: Eukaryota; Viridiplantae; Streptophyta; Magnoliopsida; Malpighiales; Euphorbiaceae
Source: RNAcentral